AAAUUGAAGAGUUUGAUCAUGGCUCAGAUUGAACGCUGGCGGCAGGCCUAACACAUGCAAGUCGAGCGGUAGCACAGAGAGCUUGCUCUCGGGUGACGAGCGGCGGACGGGUGAGUAAUGUCUGGGAAACUGCCUGAUGGAGGGGGAUAACUACUGGAAACGGUAGCUAAUACCGCAUAAUGUCGCAAGACCAAAGUGGGGGACCUUCGGGCCUCAUGCCAUCAGAUGUGCCCAGAUGGGAUUAGCUAGUAGGUGGGGUAACGGCUCACCUAGGCGACGAUCCCUAGCUGGUCUGAGAGGAUGACCAGCCACACUGGAACUGAGACACGGUCCAGACUCCUACGGGAGGCAGCAGUGGGGAAUAUUGCACAAUGGGCGCAAGCCUGAUGCAGCCAUGCCGCGUGUGUGAAGAAGGCCUUCGGGUUGUAAAGCACUUUCAGCGGGGAGGAAGGCGAUAAGGUUAAUAACCUUGUCGAUUGACGUUACCCGCAGAAGAAGCACCGGCUAACUCCGUGCCAGCAGCCGCGGUAAUACGGAGGGUGCAAGCGUUAAUCGGAAUUACUGGGCGUAAAGCGCACGCAGGCGGUCUGUCAAGUCGGAUGUGAAAUCCCCGGGCUCAACCUGGGAACUGCAUUCGAAACUGGCAGGCUAGAGUCUUGUAGAGGGGGGUAGAAUUCCAGGUGUAGCGGUGAAAUGCGUAGAGAUCUGGAGGAAUACCGGUGGCGAAGGCGGCCCCCUGGACAAAGACUGACGCUCAGGUGCGAAAGCGUGGGGAGCAAACAGGAUUAGAUACCCUGGUAGUCCACGCCGUAAACGAUGUCGAUUUGGAGGUUGUGCCCUUGAGGCGUGGCUUCCGGAGCUAACGCGUUAAAUCGACCGCCUGGGGAGUACGGCCGCAAGGUUAAAACUCAAAUGAAUUGACGGGGGCCCGCACAAGCGGUGGAGCAUGUGGUUUAAUUCGAUGCAACGCGAAGAACCUUACCUGGUCUUGACAUCCACAGAACUUUCCAGAGAUGGAUUGGUGCCUUCGGGAACUGUGAGACAGGUGCUGCAUGGCUGUCGUCAGCUCGUGUUGUGAAAUGUUGGGUUAAGUCCCGCAACGAGCGCAACCCUUAUCCUUUGUUGCCAGCGGUUAGGCCGGGAACUCAAAGGAGACUGCCAGUGAUAAACUGGAGGAAGGUGGGGAUGACGUCAAGUCAUCAUGGCCCUUACGACCAGGGCUACACACGUGCUACAAUGGCAUAUACAAAGAGAAGCGACCUCGCGAGAGCAAGCGGACCUCAUAAAGUAUGUCGUAGUCCGGAUUGGAGUCUGCAACUCGACUCCAUGAAGUCGGAAUCGCUAGUAAUCGUAGAUCAGAAUGCUACGGUGAAUACGUUCCCGGGCCUUGUACACACCGCCCGUCACACCAUGGGAGUGGGUUGCAAAAGAAGUAGGUAGCUUAACCUUCGGGAGGGCGCUUACCACUUUGUGAUUCAUGACUGGGGUGAAGUCGUAACAAGGUAACCGUAGGGGAACCUGCGGUUGGAUCACCUCCUUACCUUAAAGAA
This 1550-nucleotide ribosomal RNA is filed under the name Klebsiella pneumoniae. RNAcentral's name for it is "bacterial SSU rRNA". It matches the Rfam family "Bacterial small subunit ribosomal RNA". Lineage: Bacteria; Pseudomonadati; Pseudomonadota; Gammaproteobacteria; Enterobacterales; Enterobacteriaceae. The record is from RNAcentral. RNAcentral also lists the same sequence under 1 other name.